UCUUUUUGGUGAUACGGGAAUAUUUGGGAAUUUAUAGGCCAAGAAAUAGGGUUAGGAGACCUGUAGAGGGCCACAAGCCGGGGGGCACGACCAACCCCCGAGGGCACGCCCUGCAGACUUGUGGCCUCCCAGCAAGUGCCUUGCCCCCUACUCCAAGUCUCUUGGGUGUCUUGUGGUCCAAGAAAAAUCUUUCCGGAGAUUUUGUUCCGUUUGGACUCUGUUUAAUAUUCCUUAUCUGCAAUAUUCAA
RNAcentral lists this long non-coding RNA (248 nucleotides) under Hordeum vulgare. RNAcentral's name for it is "long non-coding RNA (HVUL_LNC010223)". Lineage: Eukaryota; Viridiplantae; Streptophyta; Magnoliopsida; Poales; Poaceae. The record is from RNAcentral.